This 347-nucleotide ribosomal RNA is filed under the name uncultured fungus. RNAcentral's name for it is "eukaryotic LSU rRNA". The stretch from base 1 to 72 matches the Rfam family "5.8S ribosomal RNA", at positions 84 to 154 of the family's 154-position model. Lineage: Eukaryota; Fungi. The record is from RNAcentral.
GUGAGUCAUCGAGUCUUUUGAACGCACCUUGCGCUGUCUGGUAUUCCGGACAGCAUGCCUGUUUGAGUGUCAUGAACUCUUCAACCCACCGGUUUCUUGUUAGAUCGGACGGUGUUUGGAUUUUGAGUGUUGCUGGUCUUCGGACGAAGCUCAUUCAUAAUACAUUAGCAUCUCAAUUUCGAACUUCGGAUUGACUCAGCGUAAUAGACUAUUCGCUGAGGACACCUCACGGUGGCCGAAAUAGAAGACAGUUAGAAGCUCCUAAUCAGAUCUUAGUCAACUUUUUAGACUAGACCUCAGAUCAGGCAGGAUUACCCGCUGAACUUAAGCAUAUCAAUAAGGCGAGG